RNAcentral lists this ribosomal RNA (460 nucleotides) under uncultured bacterium. RNAcentral's name for it is "partial 16S ribosomal RNA". It matches the Rfam family "Bacterial small subunit ribosomal RNA", at positions 338 to 795 of the family's 1533-position model. The record is from RNAcentral.
CCUACGGGUGGCAGCAGUGAGGAAUAUUGGUCAAUGGACGAGAGUCUGAACCAGCCAAGCCGCGUGAAGGAUGACGGCUCUAUGGGUUGUAAACUUCUUUUGUAUGGGAAUAAAAUGCUCUACGUGUGUGAUUUUGUAUGUAUCAUAUGAAUAAGGAUCGGCUAACUCCGUGCCAGCAACCGCGGUAAUACGGAGGAGCCGAGUGUUAUCCGGAUUUAUUGGGUUUAAAGGGUGCGUAGGUGGAUUGUUAAGUCAGUUGUGAAAGUUUGGGGCUCAACCGUGAAAUUGCAGUUGAAACUGGCAGUCUAGAGUACAGUAGAGGUGGGCGGAAUGCGUGGUGUAGCGGUGAAAUGCUUAGAUAUCACGAAGAACUCCGAUUGCGAAGGCAGUUCACUGGACUGCAACUGACACUGAGGCUCGAAAGUGUGGGUAGCAAACAGGAUUAGAUACCCUAGUAGUC